UUUUUCCCUACAAAGAUUGUAGUAGAUUAUAGAACUAAAUUGUACUUUACCCUAAAUUUUUUUUUAAGAAGAAAAUACUUUAUUAAAAAGAGCAAAAGUCCUGAUUGGCCAAGCAAGUUAGCCAACUGGGAAAACAACGGUCCCAACUCUCACUUUCCUUUUCCUCCAAAACCCUCCUCGCAACAGAACAGAAUGUGCCCAAACAUUAGCAUCCCUACUCACUUUAACUCCUUCAAUCUCUUGAUUUCGUCAACCAACCAUUGGAUUUCGGAAAAAUCGUCGACUUGCUCAUUCAAAAUCUGGGCCACCUCAAUUGAAUCACAGAUCGGGAACGGCGUCGGUCGAUUUUCCAGCCAACGAAGCCCCUCCAGCACUGCUUCCAUCUCUAGCAUUUUCACGCUCCAGCAGUUAUCGACCACCUUAUUUCCGGCGUAGAUGACCUCUCCCGUCCAGCUUCGCACCACCCAUCCUAACCCGCCCAAUUGGUGAGAAGAAGACCAAGAGGCGUCGGUAUUUAGAGUCCAGAAGCCAGUCCCAGUGAUCCCCAAUACCGACAAUCCCAGAAAAGUUGGAAGUCAAAAUUCCUGCAAAAAACACAAGCAAAAUCAGUCACAAUUCCUUUUUUGCUAAGGUUAGAUUUUAGGGGAAUUAAAUUGUUUGCAAACUUCCAAGCACGCAAUCUUGAUUUUUGGGGCUACAGAUGUCUUCCAAAGUCGCUUCCAACGUUUAGCUUGCUGAUGCGAAUUAGAGGAGGUGGCCAUCUGGUUGUCAUGCUUUUGCAUCCCUAGAUGAUAAGCUCUCUUCACUGAAAAAAUUCCUUUGUUGUCUGCUCCCCAAAUUUUAAUGGUUAUGGAGAGAGGUAAGUAUAUUGUAUAAUUGAAAGUAAGAUGUUAAUCGGACGAAGUUGGGGAAAGCUUCCCAUCCCCAUUCCCACGA
Momordica charantia (bitter melon) is the source of this 936-nucleotide long non-coding RNA. RefSeq lists it as uncharacterized. NCBI's taxonomy places the organism in Eukaryota, Viridiplantae, Streptophyta, Magnoliopsida, Cucurbitales, Cucurbitaceae. The record is from RefSeq and is a predicted model, not a curated record.